UGUUAAGUCGGAUGUGAAAGCCCCGGGCUCAACCUGGGAAUAGCAUUUAGAACUGGCAGGCUAGAGUCUUGGAGAGGGGAGUGGAAUUCCAGGUGUAGCGGUGAAAUGCGUAGAGAUGUGGAGGAAUACCAAUGGCGAAGGCAGCCCCCUGGGAUAAUAUUGACGCUCAUGUACGAAAGCGUGGGGAGCGAACAGGAUUAGAUACCCU
RNAcentral lists this ribosomal RNA (208 nucleotides) under Schmidingerella taraikaensis. RNAcentral describes it as "partial Bacterial small subunit ribosomal RNA". It matches the Rfam family "Bacterial small subunit ribosomal RNA", at positions 581 to 788 of the family's 1533-position model. Lineage: Eukaryota; Ciliophora; Spirotrichea; Tintinnida; Rhabdonellidae. The record is from RNAcentral.